UGGGGAAUAUUGGACAAUGGGCGAAAGCCUGAUCCAGCCAUGCCGCGUGUGUGAAGAAGGUCUUCGGAUUGUAAAGCACUUUAAGUUGGGAGGAAGGGCAUUAACCUAAUACGUUAGUGUUUUGACGUUACCGACAGAAUAAGCACCGGCUAACUCUGUGCCAGCAGCCGCGGUAAUACAGAGGGUGCAAGCGUUAAUCGGAAUUACUGGGCGUAAAGCGCGCGUAGGUGGUUUGUUAAGUUGGAUGUGAAAUCCCCGGGCUCAACCUGGGAACUGCAUUCAAAACUGACUGACUAGAGGAUGGUAGAGGGUGGUGGAAUUUCCUGUGUAGCGGUGAAAUGCGUAGAUAUAGGAAGGAACACCAGUGGAGAAGGCGACCACCUGGACUAAUACUGACACUGAGGUGCGAAAGCGUGGGGAGCAAACA
RNAcentral lists this ribosomal RNA (427 nucleotides) under uncultured bacterium. RNAcentral's name for it is "partial 16S ribosomal RNA". It matches the Rfam family "Bacterial small subunit ribosomal RNA", at positions 355 to 774 of the family's 1533-position model. The record is from RNAcentral.